This 422-nucleotide ribosomal RNA is filed under the name uncultured bacterium. RNAcentral describes it as "bacterial SSU rRNA". It matches the Rfam family "Bacterial small subunit ribosomal RNA", at positions 355 to 774 of the family's 1533-position model. The record is from RNAcentral.
UAAGGAAUAUUGGACAAUGGAGGCAACUCUGAUCCAGCCAUGCCGCGUGAAGGAAUAAGGCCCUAUGGGUUGUAAACUUCUUUUAGACGGGACAAAACCCCUUUACGUGUAAAGGGUUGAUGGUACUGUCAGAAUAAGCAUCGGCUAACUUCGUGCCAGCAGCCGCGGUAAUACGAAGGAUGCAAGCGUUAUCCGGAAUUAUUGGGUUUAAAGGGUGCGUAGGCGGACUAAUAAGUCAGUGGUGAAAGCCUGCAGCUUAACUGCAGAAUUGCCAUGGAUACUGUUAGACUUGAGUACAGUUGAGGUAGGCGGAAUGUGUCAUGUAGCGGUGAAAUGCUUAGAUAUGACACAGAACACCGAUUGCGAAGGCAGCUUGCUAAGCUGUAACUGACGCUGAGGCACGAAAGCGUGGGGAGCAAACA